Molecule: ribosomal RNA, 274 nt
Filed under: uncultured bacterium
Lineage: Bacteria
Description: partial 16S ribosomal RNA
Rfam family: Bacterial small subunit ribosomal RNA
Source: RNAcentral
AUACGGAGGGUGCAAGCGUUAUCCGGAUUCAUUGGGUUUAAAGGGUUCGCAGGCGGCGUAUUAAGUCAGUGGAGAAAUCCCGAGGCUCAACCUCGGAACUGCCAUUGAUACUGGUAUGCUAGAGUAUAGUUGGCGUUGGCGGAAUGUAUCAUGUAGCGGUGAAAUGCUUAGAUAUGAUACAGAACACCGAUCGCGAAGGCAGCUAACGAAACUAUAACUGACGCUCAGGAACGAAAGCGUGGGGAGCGAACAGGAGUAGAAACCCCAGUAGUCC